This 23-nucleotide non-coding RNA is filed under the name Cricetulus griseus (Chinese hamster). The record is from RNAcentral. Lineage: Eukaryota; Metazoa; Chordata; Mammalia; Rodentia; Cricetidae.
GGAAGUGGAAAGUUGGAAGACAG